AGGGCACCACCAGGAGUGGAGCCUGCGGCUUAAUUUGACUCAACACGGGGAAACUUACCCGGCCUGGACACUGGAAGGAUUGACAGAUUGAGAGCUCUUUCUUGAUUCAGUGGGUGGUGGUGCAUGGCCGUUCUUAGUUGGUGGAGCGAUUUGUCUGGUUAAUUCCGAUAACGAACGAGACUCUAGCCUAUUAAAUAGGCUCUCGGCUUUUAAACGCCGGGAGGACUUCUUAGAGGGACAGGUGGCGGUUCAGCCGCACGAAAGAGAGCAAUAACAGGUCUGUGAUGCCCUUUGUUGUCCGGGGCCGCACGCGCGCUACACUGAAGAGAUCAGCGUGCUUUACGUUCCUGCUCCGACCGGAGUGGGGAACCCAGUGAACCUUCUUCGUGAUUGGGAUAGAAGAUUGUAAUUAUUCUUCUUGAACGAGGAAUUCCCUCUAAAUGCAUGUCAUAAACUCGCGUUGAUUACUUCCCUGCCCGUUGUAUGUACCGACCGUCGCUACUACCUAGUGAUUGAUCU
Molecule: ribosomal RNA, 519 nt
Filed under: uncultured eukaryote
Lineage: Eukaryota
Description: SSU rRNA
Rfam family: Eukaryotic small subunit ribosomal RNA
Source: RNAcentral